GGCAAUACUAACUCCCUAUAUUUUUUAUAUAAAAUUACAUAAAAUAUACAAAAAUACAAUAUCAACUUCUUUAUAAUAAAUAUUUCUCUUCUUACAAAUUAAAGAACUAAACUUCGUCAUGCUCAGGUGUCCUCCACUAUGGCCCGCUAACGACCCGUGCUGGCCCAGCGCGGGAGUAAAGUCCGGCCCGCGAGACGGCCGCUGCAUCGACGGCAAGCAAGACUACCCAUACCCGAGGCUACCCGUGUCCUACUGGUAGACAAGACAGGUUCAGCAAGCAGCGUCGCGAGGCAAUUUCCUCGCGUGGCAAAGGGUCAAUGGAGACUUGCCUCGGCCGAGGCAACGGUCGCCUUCGCGACGAUGUUCGCUUUAGAUAGCCGCCGUAUGUCUACUGGGUGUUAACGUGUCAUGAGUGGUUGAUAUAAGGGGUGUCAUCUCAUUGUAUAAUGUCAAGUGAAACAGUUUUGUAAUAAAUACAUGAAAAUUUA
This is a long non-coding RNA of Leguminivora glycinivorella, 488 nucleotides long. RefSeq lists it as uncharacterized. Lineage: Eukaryota; Metazoa; Arthropoda; Insecta; Lepidoptera; Tortricidae. The transcript is spliced from 2 exons. The record is from RefSeq and is a predicted model, not a curated record.